GAUGGCAGUAGCAGUUUUUGAACAAAAGAGAGAAGAGAAAACCGAGAGAAAGAAAGGAAGAAGAGGCAGCAGAGCAGUCUGUCUUCUUUCUUCGAUUUCCAGUUCGUUCACCGUUGGAUCGGGCUGAGAUUUGGACAGCAGCUUCUAGACACGUUACUCUUCAUUCUGAACGGUUGGAUUGAAGAUUGGUGGUGUGGAAGCUAGUCGUUUUGACAGAAAACGGGGCUGUCAGUGUUGUGAGCUUUUCUCUAACAUUACUCUCUUUAAUCUUGUUGUAAUCCGAGAAUAAGUUGUUCUUGAUGAUAUAUAUGUUGUAGCCCUUAGUUGAAUCUGAGGAAGAACUAUUGUGAACCCAUUAUUUGUGAUAGUGGAAGUUUUUAGGUGGACUCCGGUCCCGUGGUUUUUCCCGCAUCGGGUUUUCCACGUAAAAAUCUUGGUGUUGAUUUGUGUGAUUGUUGCAUUAUAUUUGUUCAUUGUUUGAUUCUGUUUUUUACUGCACAAAGAGGGAAAAAGGAUUGGGACUUGUGAA
This is a long non-coding RNA of Populus trichocarpa (black cottonwood), 529 nucleotides long. RefSeq lists it as uncharacterized. The record is from RefSeq and is a predicted model, not a curated record. NCBI's taxonomy places the organism in Eukaryota, Viridiplantae, Streptophyta, Magnoliopsida, Malpighiales, Salicaceae. The transcript has 2 exons.